RNA transcript from Ochlerotatus camptorhynchus, 6022 nucleotides. It is a transcript of the gene named THO complex subunit 2-like protein, with no coding region annotated. The transcript has 11 exons. Lineage: Eukaryota; Metazoa; Arthropoda; Insecta; Diptera; Culicidae. The record is from RefSeq and is a predicted model, not a curated record.
GCAUCUUUCCAAAUCCGAAACGUCAAAUCGAAAUAUUGGUCGCGAAAAUGCUGAACGCUGAUAUUUGGAAAUCUUGGGAAAGAAGUGGAAAAUCUGAAUUUUUGAAACAAUGUAAAGCUCUACUGAAGGAGGAUAGCAGUCCUCUGUUCGGGAAAAAUGACCGGAAGACGGGAAUUUCGCGGGCAAUCUACGAAUUGGUAUCACAUGGCAUCCGGGGACAGAUCAAGAAGGAAAGCGCCCUGGCGAUGUUGGGCGAGCUAGCCAAUCUACACAGUGACAUUCCGUCGAUCAUGUUGGACAUCUUUGGAGUUUUGGAUGCGGAAACGGCUGCCGGAGGAGGGGGAAGUGGCGCGGAUGCUUCUACCGAAGAACGUGGUGCAUUCUGCUUUAUCGCAAAGGAAUCGGAGCGGUUUCUGUCGGAAAAGCUGCUGAAGGAACGGCUCGAGAUUGACACGCUGCAGGAUGUGGGGACGAUCAAGAAUAGGAGUUUCUAUACCAAGUUCAUCAAGGUGAAAACGAAGCUUUACUACAAGCAACGUCGAUUCAAUUUGUUCCGCGAGGAAAGCGAAGGGUACGCCAAACUGAUAACGGAGUUGAAUCAGGAGUUCAAUGAAUCGAACACAGUUCUAAGCAUACUGGAGAUUAUCAAAUCGCUGAUUGGUUGCUUCAAUUUAGACCCGAAUCGAGUGCUGGACAUUAUGUUGGAAUCAUUCGAAACCCGUCCGGAACACGAUAAGAUGUUCAUUCCGCUGCUUCAGUCGUAUAUUAACGAUGGAAAUAUCAUCUGCGAGGUGCUAGGCUAUAAAUAUCGACACUUUGCCGACAGUCGAACUCCAGAAUCGCUGUUCAAGGUGACGGCAUUGCUAUUGCAGCACGGAGUCAUCAAGUUGGAUGAUAUCUAUGCUUGGCUAAGCCCAACAGACAAGCUUAUCAUCACCGAAUGGGAAUCUGAUGUGGCGGAUGCAAAGGAAUUCGUUCGAAGGUUGAAUGUCGUUUCCACGAAUAAAGAUAAGGAACAGGAACCUGAACCGGAGAAGGAGGUGACACCGGAGAAAUACGCCACCAACCAAAAGUGGGGUCUUUGCGAAGCGCUACUCCACGUUGGCGAUUGGAAUACGGCCCAGCUUUUGCUGAAAAAACUUCCGGAACAAUCCGUAAUGGUCAAUGAGCGCAUAGCAAGGGCUCUCUGUCGACUGCUGCAUAUGAUAAUCGAACCAGUCUACCGUCUGAAGUGUGCACUUCCAUGCAACAUCAAAGGACGUCCAAUCAGCAACGGGCUCAGCAAAUUAGCACCGGCACCGGUUACCACAAUCUCCAAACUACGCAAUCACGCCUUUCCUAUGUUCACCGCCUUGGGACCCUCGCUGCACUACGAUUCCGUUCUGCUCUACAAGCUUCUCCGCUUGGUCCGCAUUAUCCUGACGGAAAUGAACGUCGAUCCGAUGAAUCCACCCGCAGUCGGAUCGGAGAACGAACAGCUCUACUACGACAUCAUAACCCUGCUGGAUGCUUCGAUUCUUCCGGCUCUCUCCUAUAUGGAUUGCAACUGUUGCGUGGCCGAAGAAAUCUGGUCGAUCGUGAAACUUUAUCCCUAUCAAUAUCGGUACAGUCUGUAUGCCCGCUGGAAGAACGACACCUACCAGCUGCAGCCGAAGCUGAUCCGCCGCCGAGGAAAUGCCCAGAAGCAAAUCAAGGCUCUGAUGAAGCGGGUCAGCAAGGAGAAUAGUAAACCGGUUGGACGGCUGAUCGGUAAACUGAGUCACUGUUCGCCGGGCUUCCUGUUCGAUUACAUCCUCCUGCAAAUUCAAAUCUACGACAAUCUGAUCACACCGGUAGUGGAUUCCUUGAAAUAUCUUACCUCCCUCUCGUACGAUGUGCUCGGGUAUUGCUUGAUAGAAUCGCUGGAACAAGUGGAUCGUAAUCCCAUGCAAAACGACGGGACGUCCAUUUCGCUGUGGUUGCAGAGUUUGGCCAACUUCUGUGGGGCCAUCUACAAGAAGUACAACAUCGAACUCAGCGGACUGCUGCAGUAUGUGGGCAAUCAGCUGAAGGCGCAUAAGAGCCUGGAUCUGUUGAUUCUGAAGGAAGUGGUGCAGAAAAUGACCGGUAUCGAAGCUGCUGAGGAGAUGACCUCCGAGCAAAUCGGUGCCAUGUGCGGUGGAGAACUGCUGCGAGGCGAGGCCGGAUACUUCAGCCAGGUGCGCAAUACCAAGAAGUCCUCCCAGCGUCUGAAGGAUGCCCUAGCCAGCAACGACCUAUCCGUGGCCCUGUGUCUGUUGAUUGCCCAGCAGAAGCACUGCGUUAUCUAUCGUGAAACGGCUUCUAGCCAUCUCAAGCUGGUCGGAAAGCUGUACGACCAAUGCCAGGACACGCUGGUCCAGUUCGGCACGUUCCUCGGGUCGACCUACUCAGUGGAGGAGUACGUCGAUCGGUUACCCACGAUUCACAGCAUGCUACAGGAAUAUCACAUCCACUCGGACGUGGCGUUCUUCCUUGCCAGGCCGAUGUUUUCCCAUGCCAUCAGUCAAAAAUACGAUCAACUACGCAAGGCGGAUCAAAACUCAAAGAAGCUGUCCACCUCGCAGAAGAUGGUCAAAUAUCUGGAGGCGACCGCAUUCGUGAUGAACCCGGUAAUCGAAUCGGUCCGUCCGCUGCAUCCACCCAAAGUUUGGGAAGACAUCAGUCCGCAAUUUCUGGUCACGUUCUGGUCCUUGAGUAUGUACGACCUGCAGGUUCCGGCCGAAAGCUACCAACGUGAGAUCAACAAACUGAAGCAACUUUCCAUUUCGGCGAUGGACUCCAAGGAACAGAAUGCAUCGAAGAACAAGAAGGAACAGGAACGACACGUGGCACUGAUGGAGAAACUGCAGGACGAACGGAAGAAGCAACAGGAGCACGUUGAUAAAAUUAUGCACCGACUGACAAGCGAGAAGGAUGCAUGGUUCCUGUCACGUUCGGCCAAGUCCGCCAAAAACGAAACCAUCACCCAGUUCCUGCAGUUGUGUCUCUUCCCGCGAUGUACCUUCACGGCCCUGGAUGCGCUCUACUGUGCAAAGUUCGUCCACACGAUUCACAGCCUGAAGACGGCCAACUUUUCCACGUUGCUUUGCUACGAUAGAAUAUUCUGCGAUAUAACAUAUUCGGUUACGUCCUGCACGGAAAACGAAGCUACUCGGUACGGGCGCUUCCUGUGCGCCAUGUUGGAAACGGUCAUGCGUUGGCACGCCGAUCAGAGCACCUUCAACCGGGAGUGCUCAAACUAUCCCGGAUUCGUGACCAAAUUCCGCGUCAGUAAUCAGUUCUCCGAAGCGAACGAUCACGUCAACUACGAAAACUACCGUCACGUGUGUCACAAGUGGCACUACAAGAUCACCAAGGCGAUGGUAUUCUGCUUAGAUUCCAAGGACUACAUGCAGAUUCGAAAUUCGCUGAUCAUCCUGAUGCGCAUCUUGCCGCACUUCCCGGUUCUAGCCAAGCUGGCACAGAUCAUCGAGAAGAAGGUCGAGAAGGUACGGGAGGAGGAGAAGAACCAACGCCAGGAUCUGUUCGUUCUGGCUUCCAGCUACAUCGGGCAGCUAAAGGCCAAGGCCGGACAGAUGAUGCGCGAAAGCGACUUCCAUCAGGUGGCGGAGAAGCCCGUCAAGGUGGAACCGCAGGAAUCGAAGGCAAUGAACGGGGAUAGCAAAAGUGAUCGUAAAGAGAUCAAGUCCGAAAAAAAGAUCAUCGUCGUCAAUAGUUCGUCGUCCAGUUCGAAGCUACAACUGAACUCGUCUAGUUCAGCGGCAAACUCCAACAACGUUGGAAGCGGCAACAGCAGUAGCAAUCCGGAUGUCAAGAUUAUCGAGCGGGAAAUAAAGAAGGACACUCCGGUGAGAGAAUCGACCAGGGAAACAUCCGUCAGUAGCACUACGAAGGAAAAGUCGUCCAAGGAGAUCAAACGGGAGGAACGGGCCCGUGAGAAGGAACGCGAACGGGAGGAAUCAGCCGCCGAACGGAAGCGCGAGAAAGAGAAGGAGAAACGACGUGACAAAACUACCAGAGCCGCCCUGGCAGCUGCGGCCGCCGCCGAGUUUGAGCUCCAACAGCAGCAGCAGCUACACACCAGUGAACGGGAUUCGCGCGCCAGCGAGAGGGACAGAGAUCGCGAUCGCACCGAACGGGACCUCAGUUCGGUGUCUAACUCCAGCAACGAGCAUCGUCGCAGCCAGGAUCCACCGGAGCACGAUAGAGAAGUCAAACGUCGCAAGCUGGAAAGUUCCUCGAAGGUUAGUAUUGUGGUGUAAACACACUUGACACAGAGUGCCAAUUCGUAAGAAAAGAUAGAGAAACAAAGAAAAAAGUGAUGUGCAAUGCCGAAACCGGAAAGAAAAGAAACAGGCGGUGAUAGAGAAAGGCAAGAAGAGAAGGGAGAGAGAGAGUGAGAAAUUAGUGUCUUGACGGGGAAAUCGCACAUCCGAUGGUGGCGUCGUAUGGGUUCGUUGUUCCAAUCCCAAACGGUGGCCGAUCGAUCGUCGCACAAGCUGCUGCAGGGGAGAGACGAGGCACUACAGACCAAUUACCGAUGGCCAAUGCACCGGACCAUGGACCGCAGGAUCAGAUAGGAGCAGUUGUUAAUUGAACUGCAGCGCCUAGACAGACUACUAGAACAUAAAACCGUGAAUCUUUCUUCCGUAACGCUUGACUUGAAGAUGACCCAAAAGUAGUAUUUUCGAAUAAAUUUUGACUCAACAUGGCCCUAGCAAUACUUGUAAUCAACAGACUUAAACUUUAGUCUGAAGGGUAGAUUCACGGCUGCGCUGAACCUGGAUCGAUGAUCACACGAUGUUCGAGAAGAUGGGACUGAGGACAACAUGAAUGGAUUCCGGGGAUGAAGAAAUGCGACAGGAUGAGUGAAACUACAACAGGAGAUAUUCGCACAACGCUGGAGGAAGAGGACACACCAUGUAACUGGAGCAUAAGUAACUAACGGGGCGCCAAUGAGUUAAGGAUUAAUAAUGCACUGACAAUCUUUUCAAAGACCACCACGCUAUCGGAAACAGCGCAUUCCAAGUCAAUCUGAAAUCAUCGUACCAAUACAAUAGAAUCGACUUAAUUAGGAACUCGCAAAGAAUGUGAUUAUAAAUUGUCAGUAGCCACAUUUCCAAUGAGAGAUUUAUGCAACUCAUAGCUAGCUUUCAAACACAUGACGAUUAAUUUUGGAAUCGCCCGAGCUGGCUUAGCAAGGCUCUUCAAUGCUUCUACAGUUUUGCAACCUAUUGCUAUAAGUAUAAGGAAAGAUGGAGCCAAUCAAGAAGGAAAAAUUCAAACCAUCGUAAAGAAAUACAGCAAGCCAACCAAACGCCCUUGGAAGCCGCCUACCAAACCCAGGAGCUCAAGCGGAGGAAAUGCCAAACCGUUAGAAGUCUUCGUUAAGUGCAUUGUUAAAUGUGUUCAGUUUGAUCAAGUGAUUCGUCGAUUCAAUUCAAUUAGCUAAAAAGGAACAUUUUACCGCCUUUUCUAACUUCAACGCAUAACUGCUAACUACUUUUAAUAUACAGCAAGUUUAGCAUAUUCGCGUAAAUAAUUCCACACACUAACUCUGCCAACCGAAUAAUUAAUAAAACCGUUGUUAUUAUAUUGAAUACGAAAAGUGCAUACAUCCGUUGAAAAAAAAAAGCAAAAUCGUUCAGCAAACCAGAAUUCCACAGUUUCCAGUUGGCAAUCCGUCAAUCUCCCCUGCACAAUUGCCAUCCGUGUCCGGAAGUCUCGAAACCUAGCGUGUUUGAUCCUGCCCUGGCUCGGCACUCUACCGGUCGGCAGUUUCCUUGUUAACCAAUCCGUUGAAGCGCUCGUAGUCGUAGUUCGUAGUCCUCUCUUCCGUGGGCCUGUGCCAAGAGCAAACACGAAGGCGACGCCAUUACGAUGCAGUCAUCAUCGUCGACCGAGUCCAAAAAAGAACGCAGCAGCAAAACCAAGGACAAGCGUGACAAAACCGACGAGGAGAAGGAACUUCGCAAGGAGCGUAAGCUCGGCAGAAAGAGGG